UACGUAGGGUCCGAGCGUUGUCCGGAAUUACUGGGCGUAAAGAGCUCGUAGGUGGUUUGUCGCGUUGUUCGUGAAAACUCACAGCUUAACUGUGGGCGUGCGGGCGAUACGGGCAGACUUGAGUACUGCAGGGGAGACUGGAAUUCCUGGUGUAGCGGUGGAAUGCGCAGAUAUCAGGAGGAACACCGGUGGCGAAGGCGGAUCUCUGGGCCGAUACUGACGCUGAGGAGCGAAAGCGUGGGGAGCGAACAGG
Molecule: ribosomal RNA, 253 nt
Filed under: uncultured bacterium
Lineage: Bacteria
Description: partial 16S ribosomal RNA
Rfam family: Bacterial small subunit ribosomal RNA
Source: RNAcentral